AUUGAACGCUGGCGGCAGGCCUAACACAUGUAAGUCGAACGGUAACAGGAAGAAGCUUGCUUCUUUGCUGACGAGUGGCGGACGGGUGAGUAAUGUCUGGGAAACUGCCUGAUGGAGGGGGAUAACUACUGGAAACGGUAGCUAAUACCGCAUAACGUCGCAAGACCAAAGAGGGGGACCUUCGGGCCUCUUGCCAUCGGAUGUGCCCAGAUGGGAUUAGCUAGUAGGUGGGGUAACGGCUCACCUAGGCGACGAUCCCUAGCUGGUCUGAGAGGAUGACCAGCCACACUGGAACUGAGACACGGUCCAGACUCCUACGGGAGGCAGCAGUGGGGAAUAUUGCACAAUGGGCGCAAGCCUGAUGCAGCCAUGCCGCGUGUAUGAAGAAGGCCUUCGGGUUGUAAAGUACUUUCAGCGGGGAGGAAGGGAGUAAAGUUAAUACCUUUGCUCAUUGACGUUACCCGCAGAAGAAGCACCGGCUAACUCCGUG
Molecule: ribosomal RNA, 490 nt
Filed under: uncultured bacterium
Lineage: Bacteria
Description: partial 16S ribosomal RNA
Rfam family: Bacterial small subunit ribosomal RNA
Source: RNAcentral